This 479-nucleotide ribosomal RNA is filed under the name uncultured bacterium. RNAcentral's name for it is "partial 16S ribosomal RNA". It matches the Rfam family "Bacterial small subunit ribosomal RNA", at positions 29 to 523 of the family's 1533-position model. The record is from RNAcentral.
AACGAACGCUUGCGGCGCGCCUAAUACAUGCAAGUCGAGCGAGAAAGUAUCUUCGGAUGCGAGUACAGCGGCGGACGGGUGAGGAACACGUAGAUAAUCUGCCUUAGAGUGGGGGAUAACUAAUCGAAAGAUUAGCUAAUACCGCAUAAGACCACAGGGGCUUCGACUCUAGGGGUUAAAGGAGCAAUUCGCUCUAAGAUGAGUCUGCGUCCGAUUAGCUAGUUGGUGAGGUAAUGGCUCACCAAGGCAACGAUCGGUAACUGGUCUGAGAGGAUGACCAGUCACACUGGAACUGAGACACGGUCCAGACUCCUACGGGAGGCAGCAGUAGGGAAUAUUGCACAAUGGAGGAAACUCUGAUGCAGCGACGCCGCGUGAGUGAUGAAGGCCUUCGGGUUGUAAAACUCUGUGAUAAGGGAAGAUGAUGACGGUACCUUAUCAGAAAAGACCGGCUAACUUCGUGCCAGCAGCCGCAGUAA